GGUUAUCCUGCCAGUAGUCAUAUGCUUGUCUCAAAGAUUAAGCCAUGCAUGUCUAAGUAUAAAUAGUAUACAGUGAAACUGCGAAUGGCUCAUUAAAACAGUUAUAGUUUAUUUGAUAAUUGACAAUUACAUGGAUAACCGUGGUAAUUCUAGAGCUAAUACAUGCUUAAACGCCCGACUUUAUGGAAGGGUGGUAUUUAUUAGACUGAAGCCAAUAUUCCUUGUGUCUAUUGCGGUGAUUCAUAAUAACUGAUCGAAUCUCUUUUUGAGAUAAAUCAUUCAAGUUUCUGCCCUAUCAGCUUUCGAUGGUAGUGUAUUGGACUACCAUGGCAGUAACGGGUAACGAAGAAUUAGGGUUCGAUUUCGGAGAGGGAGCAUGAGAAACGGCUACCACAUCUAAGGAAGGCAGCAGGCGCGUAAAUUACCCAAUCCUGACUCAGGGAGGUAGUGACAAGAAAUAGCAAACCGGGAACCUCAUGGUUUCACGGUAUUGCAAUGAGAACAAUUUAAAACCCUUAGCGAGAAUCAAGUGGAGGACAAGUCUGGUGCCAGCACCCGCGGUAAUUCCAGCUCCACUAGCGUAUAUUAAAGUUGUUGCAGUUAAAAAGCUCGUAGUUGAACCUCUGUCUGGGGCUAGUUUUGGCUUUGGUCAGGCUAGUUCUAGGCAUCCGCCUACAAGACUUAGAGGGCAUUCAGUUGUUCACUAGGAGGAGUAGGCAUUUUACUUUGAAAAAAUUAGAGUGUUUAAGGCAGGCAAUCGCCCGCAUAUAUUAGCAUGGAAUAAUAGAAUAGGACACUUUUCCAUUUCGUUGGUUAUUGGAAUCGUGUAAUGAUUAAUAGGGACAGUUGUGGGCAUUUGUAUUUAAUUGUCAGAGGUGAAAUUCUUGGAUUUAUUAAAGACAAACUAACGCGAAAGCAUUUGCCAAGGAUGUUUUCAUUAAUCAAGAACGAAAGUUAGGGGAUCAAAGACGAUCAGAUACCGUCCUAGUCUUAACUAUAAACUAUUCCGACUCAAUGUUUGACUGGCUUAUAUAACCAGUUGAGCGUUGUAUGAGAAAUCAAAGUCUUUAGGUUCUGGGGGGAGUAUGGUUGCAAAGCUGAAACUUAAAGGAAUUGACGGAAGAGCACAACCAGGAGUGGAUUCUGCGGCUUAAUUUGACUCAACACGGGGAAACUUACCAGGUUAAAACAAUAGUGGGAUUGACAGUUUGAGAGCGCUUUCUUGAUUGGUUGGGUGGUGGUGCAUGGCCGUUCUUAGUUGGUGGAGUGAUUUGUCUGCUUAG
This 1283-nucleotide ribosomal RNA is filed under the name metagenome. RNAcentral's name for it is "SSU rRNA". It matches the Rfam family "Eukaryotic small subunit ribosomal RNA", at positions 6 to 1322 of the family's 1831-position model. The record is from RNAcentral.